ACAUCUUUAUGUGUCGACACGUUCUGGUCUAAAGAUAAAUGUACGGCUACCUCAAAUACAGUUUGUGAACCACUGGAGGGAUCCUACUGUAUGGACUAUUCACAAAACAGCUGUGUGAAAGCACAGAAACACUGCAGCUGUCAACCCGGACAAUAUAUUAGCCAAAAAGGAACAGCAUUAAGGGCCACUGAGUGCUCUGACUGCAGCGAUGGAACAUUUUCCAAUGGGACAUUAAUGUCAAUCCUUGAAUCUUCAGCAGAUAAAAUGCUUCAACCGACGCUGAAUGUGGAGAACAAAGAUCAGGAGCUGAGAUCG
Long non-coding RNA from Perca flavescens (yellow perch), 315 nucleotides. RefSeq lists it as uncharacterized. The transcript is spliced from 3 exons. The record is from RefSeq and is a predicted model, not a curated record. NCBI's taxonomy places the organism in Eukaryota, Metazoa, Chordata, Actinopteri, Perciformes, Percidae.